GCCAGGAUGGCGUAGUGGUUUGAGUAUUGAUCUAUGACUCUGGAAACUAGGGUUCAAUUCCCUGCUCGGCCA
Phrynosoma platyrhinos (Desert horned lizard) is the source of this 72-nucleotide non-coding RNA. The record is from the annotation of a GenBank genome assembly. NCBI's taxonomy places the organism in Eukaryota, Metazoa, Chordata, Lepidosauria, Squamata, Phrynosomatidae.